Long non-coding RNA from Amphiprion ocellaris (clown anemonefish), 394 nucleotides. RefSeq lists it as uncharacterized. Lineage: Eukaryota; Metazoa; Chordata; Actinopteri; Pomacentridae. The transcript is spliced from 3 exons. The record is from RefSeq and is a predicted model, not a curated record.
GAAAAUUGAUCUAGACACCAGUCAGUUAGCCCAGGCCAAGCUUCACAAUAAUGUGUUUGUUUGUCUCCACACACCUGGGUCACCUGCCUCUCAGACUCCCUCACCUGACCCUGAUGUGUCAUCUAAGGCUUCCCAUCAUGGUAGGAGGAAUGGGUUGGACUAUGUGAAACAGCUCCUGGGUGUUAUUUGUGGUGAAAGAAAGCAACUGUGUUUCUGCCUUGUUCAACCGAUCCCCGGCUUCUCCCCGUUGCUACCCUGCUGCAGCUCCUGUCAAUGUCAGGCUGUCAGGAGGAGGUAGGAAUCGGCCGACGGGCUCCUCUCGGCUCGCCCGGCCCAGCCAUGCGUCUGCCAUCAUUCUGGCUGUUGCGGCAGCUGAUUGGUGCUCCUGUGUCGG